This 46-nucleotide transfer RNA is filed under the name Haringtonhippus francisci. RNAcentral's name for it is "partial tRNA-Cys". The record is from RNAcentral. Lineage: Eukaryota; Metazoa; Chordata; Mammalia; Perissodactyla; Equidae.
AUUGAAUUGCAAAUUCAAAGGAGCAGCUUCAAUUCUGCCGGGGCUU